GCCCGCCUAGCUCAACUGGCAGAGCACUUCACUUGUAAUGAAGAGCGUCUCGGUUCGAAUCCGAGGGCGGGCU
RNAcentral lists this transfer RNA (73 nucleotides) under Thermoleophilaceae bacterium. RNAcentral describes it as "tRNA-Thr". It matches the Rfam family "tRNA". From Rfam's summary of the family: Transfer RNA (tRNA) molecules are approximately 80 nucleotides in length. Their secondary structure includes four short double-helical elements and three loops (D, anti-codon, and T loops). Further hydrogen bonds mediate the characteristic L-shaped molecular structure. tRNAs have two regions of fundamental functional importance: the anti-codon, which is responsible for specific mRNA codon recognition, and the 3' end, to which the tRNAs corresponding amino acid is attached (by aminoacyl-tRNA synthetases). tRNAs cope with the degeneracy of the genetic code in two manners: having more than one tRNA (with a specific anti-codon) for a particular amino acid; and 'wobble' base-pairing, i.e. permitting non-standard base-pairing at the 3rd anti-codon position. Lineage: Bacteria; Bacillati; Actinomycetota; Thermoleophilia; Thermoleophilales; Thermoleophilaceae. RNAcentral also lists the same sequence under 1 other name. The record is from RNAcentral.